CGCCGUUCUCGUCGUAGGUCGUCAUGACCUGCGGCUUGAACUCGCGGAUCAGCUUCACCAGGGGCGCCGCUGCCCGUUCGACCGGCUGCAGCGC
This 94-nucleotide transfer RNA is filed under the name Zhihengliuella salsuginis. Its description in RNAcentral is "tRNA-Ser". The record is from RNAcentral. Lineage: Bacteria; Bacillati; Actinomycetota; Actinomycetes; Micrococcales; Micrococcaceae.